AUGAGAGCAGCUAGGCUGCAGCACAAGGAGCGGGCAGAACAGAACUUGUCCAUGUUCAACUCCAAGAAACUGUGGGACUCAAUUAGAGGAAUGACAAACAUGGAGGCUAAAAGGAAGCCCCUGUUUGCUCAGGAUGAGAGUUUAAAAGCAAAUGCACUGAACCAAUUUUAUAUGCGUUUUGAAUCUGACAACAAUAGGGACUGCUGUGAUGUUUUAGAUAAUGUAAAUUGUACUGUGAAGGACAGGAUUUUUAUAGAUCCACAUGCGGUAACCAAGGUUUUUAAAUCAAUGCACCUAAAAAAAGCGACGGGGCCAGAUAAUAUGUCCACUUUUCUUUUAAAGACAUUUGCAGAGGAAUUGUCUCCGGUAUGGCACCAGCUGUUUCAACUUUCUAUUGAUAAACAUGUUGUACCUGAGAUCUGGAAAAAGUCCACUAUAAUUCCAGUUCCAAAAAAGGCAUGUCCUCAGGAGGACAACGAUUAUAGGCCUGUUGCAUUAACUUCCAAUGUCUUCAAGGGCCUGGAACGACUUAUGUUAAAUGUACUUCGCUCAGAGGUGGAGCCAGUAUUAGACAAAUAUCAGUUUGCAUAUACAAAGAAACGAAGUACAAGUGAUGCCAUAUCAACUAUAAUGCACCUUACAUUGAAGCACCUUGAAUUCCCAGGUGCAUAUGCUAGACUGCUCCUUAUUGAUUUUAGCUCUGCUUUUAACACAAUUCAGCCACAUAUUCUCCUAAGAAAAUUAGCCCUUCUGAAUUUAAAUCCAUUUUUAAUCAGGUGGUACCACUCAUUCCUUACUAAGAGGCCACAGCAGGUGAAGUUUAAUUCCUCCUUAUCAAAUACAGAAAUAUGUAGUACUGGUGCCCCUCAGGGAUGUGUCAGUUCACCAUUUUUGUUUAUUCUGUAUACAAAUGACUGUGUUAGUUCUGAGCCUAAUCAAUAUGUGGUGAAGUUUUCGGAUGAUACAGCUGUUCUUAGUCUGCUCACUAAGAACUCUGACUCAUCCAUUCACAGAGAUGCUGUGGACAGGUUUGUGGACUGGUGCGACAAUCAUAAAUUACAGAUUAACACCUGUAAGACUGUAGAAAUGCUCUUUGAUCCCAAAUCAAUUGGUGACCGAAGCCCUGUGACAAUACAUGGCAAUAACAUUACUCAACAAAAUUCAUGCAAGUACCUAGGCAUUCACAUUGAUAGUGACCUGAGCUGGCAGACACAAGUAGCCACUGUGUGCGCCAGAAUCCAUCAGCGCCUCCACUUUUUACGCAGACUGCGGUUGUUUGGUGUCAGUAAAAACAUAAUGUUAAUUUUCUAUAGGGCAGCAAUAGAGUCUAUCUUACGGUAUGGUAUCACCAGUUGGUUUGGUAAUCUGAGUGUCAAACUUAAAUCACAGAUUCUCAACCUGGUCAGAGUAGCGGGCAGGAUUAUGGGUCACCCCCCCUUAACCCUCAGGAACUGUUCAACGAGGCUGUCCUUACUCAGGCAAAAAACAUUCUAA
Molecule: long non-coding RNA, 1494 nt
Filed under: Carassius auratus (goldfish)
Lineage: Eukaryota; Metazoa; Chordata; Actinopteri; Cypriniformes; Cyprinidae
Description: lncRNA (ENSCARG00000053381.1)
Source: RNAcentral